GAGCGAACGCUGGCGGCAGGCCUAACACAUGCAAGUCGGAACGGGACCUUCGGGGUUAGUGGCGGACGGGUGAGUAACACGUGGGAACGUGCCUUUAGGUUCGGAAUAGCUCCUGGAAACGGGUGGUAAUGCCGAAUGUGCCCUUCGGGGGAAAGAUUUAUCGCCUUUAGAGCGGCCCGCGUCUGAUUAGCUUGUUGGUGAGGUAAUGGCUCACCAAGGCGACGAUCAGUAGCUGGUCUGAGAGGAUGACCAGCCACAUUGGGACUGAGACACGGCCCAAACUCCUACGGGAGGCAGCAGUGGGGAAUCUUGCGCAAUGGGCGAAAGCCUGACGCAGCCAUGCCGCGUGGAUGAUGAAGGUCUUAGGAUUGUAAAAUCCUUUCACCGGUGAAGAUAAUGACUGUA
This 405-nucleotide ribosomal RNA is filed under the name rape rhizosphere bacterium tsb018. RNAcentral's name for it is "bacterial SSU rRNA". It matches the Rfam family "Bacterial small subunit ribosomal RNA", at positions 27 to 459 of the family's 1533-position model. The record is from RNAcentral.